RNAcentral lists this ribosomal RNA (468 nucleotides) under uncultured bacterium. Its description in RNAcentral is "partial 16S ribosomal RNA". It matches the Rfam family "Bacterial small subunit ribosomal RNA", at positions 28 to 507 of the family's 1533-position model. The record is from RNAcentral.
GACGAGCGCUGGCGGCGUGCUUAACACAUGCAAGUCGAACGGAAAGACCCUGCUUUUGUGGGGUGCUCGAGUGGCGAACGGGUGAGUAACACGUGAGUAACCUGCCCUUGACUUUGGGAUAACUUCAGGAAACUGGGGCUAAUACCGGAUAGGAGCUCCUGCUGCAUGGUGGGGGUUGGAAAGUUUCGGCGGUUGGGGAUGGACUCGCGGCUUAUCAGCUUGUUGGUGGGGUAGUGGCUUACCAAGGCUUUGACGGGUAGCCGGCCUGAGAGGGUGACCGGCCACAUUGGGACUGAGAUACGGCCCAGACUCCUACGGGAGGCAGCAGUGGGGAAUAUUGCACAAUGGGCGGAAGCCUGAUGCAGCAACGCCGCGUGCGGGAUGACGGCCUUCGGGUUGUAAACCGCUUUCGCCUGUGACGAAGCGUGAGUGACGGUAAUGGGUAGAGAAGCACCGGCUAACUACGUG